Molecule: ribosomal RNA, 637 nt
Filed under: uncultured bacterium
Lineage: Bacteria
Description: bacterial SSU rRNA
Rfam family: Bacterial small subunit ribosomal RNA (bases 1-533)
Source: RNAcentral
CCUACGGGAGGCAGCAGUGAGGAAUAUUGGACAAUGGGCGCAAGCCUGAUCCAGCCAUGCCGCGUGCAGGAAGACGGUCCUAUGGAUUGUAAACUGCUUUUGUACAGGAAGAAACACUCCCUCGUGAGGGAGCUUGACGGUACUGUAAGAAUAAGGAUCGGCUAACUCCGUGCCAGCAGCCGCGGUAAUACGGAGGAUCCAAGCGUUAUCCGGAAUCAUUGGGUUUAAAGGGUCCGUAGGCGGUUUAAUAAGUCAGUGGUGAAAUCUGGUCGCUCAACGAUCAAACGGCCAUUGAUACUGUUAGACUUGAAUUAUUAGGAAGUAACUAGAAUAUGUAGUGUAGCGGUGAAAUGCUUAGAUAUUACAUGGAAUACCAAUUGCGAAGGCAGGUUACUACUAAUGGAUUGACGCUGAUGGACGAAAGCGUGGGGAGCGAACAGGAUUAGAUACCCUGGUAGUCCACGCCGUAAACGAUGGAUACUAGCUGUUCGGAGNAUNUGAGUGNGUAGAGAAGAGAGUAAGUAAGUACCACCGUCGGGAGGUACGGUUCGUCGAAGAAAGUUAGUAAAGUUAAAAGGUUAAAGUUAAGUUACGGCGUUGAGAGAGCGACGGACGACGACGAGGGGAAGGAAGGGAG